RNAcentral lists this ribosomal RNA (1608 nucleotides) under Triticum aestivum (bread wheat). RNAcentral describes it as "partial small subunit ribosomal RNA". The record is from RNAcentral. Lineage: Eukaryota; Viridiplantae; Streptophyta; Magnoliopsida; Poales; Poaceae.
AUGAAGAAUGGGGCCGGCCGAUCGGGACGAGACAAAACUGAAGCAGAAGUAGCCGGGGAGGUAGCCGUUGUCCUUUUCUCCGGGGGAGUCCGUUUCCGCUCCGCGCGUGGGCAUUCAAUUCGAAUUUCGAACGGCGACAAGGAAAGCGGGCCCCGAGGGCGAGCACGCUGGGUCGCUGGGCGCGGGCCCGGCGCUCAAGGUGGGGCCCACGUGUUUGCUGGUUCAGUUGGGAGGAGGCACGGCGGAGCUCCCGUCGCGCAUCGGUUUCCGGGAAAGAAGGACCGUCCGGAACGUGGCUUUCUCGUGGGGCGGGCCCCGGACGCUGACCCGCCGGGUCCACGGCGAACGUGGGCGCACAUCGCUCGCCACACCAGCGCCACACCCAACAGUGCAGCGCCUAGCUCGGGGGCGUUGCACUCCAGGCCACCGUGGCAUCCCUGGGCCCCGGACCCAGCAGUGCAGCGCCUACGAGAUGGCAGCCGCCCGCUCCCCCUCCCCCCACCCCACCCAUUCGUUCCAGGAGUUACAGAACAGCGCGGGCGGCUUCCUCCUCUCCCCCUCUCAAUCCCCUCUCCCAAAUCCUUCAGAUCGGACGAUUUGAUCCGUGCAUUUCUUCACCAAUCCAUCCUAGAAGGCACUCUCCUCCGAUCCCCUUCUUUCUAUCCAUACAAAAUAUGGAUGGUUUGGCUUCUCGAUGAUCAUUGGGACAAACAACACCGGUCGUACGCUAUGUCGGUGGAGCAGCGGGAGCUUGCACCUCUGAAGCUUCGGUUGGAUAGGAAAAAGCAGCGGAAGAUCAAGGAUUGGGCCAAGCAUCACAGGAAGUAUGUCGUGCAGUUCGCUCUUAGUGUGGAGCAAGCAAGGGCUGGAAAACGAGCCCAUCUUCGUGAGCACUGCCCGAUCGCGUUCAACAACUAUCUCACAUGGUUUCUUGAAAGUACCCGCGUGGAGGUAUGCAAGCCGGCGUAUGCUGAGGAGAUUCUGGAAGAACCCACCAUUUUUGAUGAGGUAGCCCAGCACCAGUACAACACAUUAGUCAGGAAAGGCAACUCAGUGAUCCCUUCAGCUCCAAUGAUGAACUUUGUGAUCAAGAAAGCAGCUGAUGAGACCGAGACUAUUCUGGAAACAACCCAUCUGGCAAAAGCGAUGGGGAAGCGCCAGGGCCAAAAGUUAAGGCGGCUAUCAAACCUUUUCGGUUGUCGUGACCCCGAGUAUGUAUCACCAGAACGGUCUAGGUCGGCGACACCAUCAGAUCCCGCUUCGGGGCAGGGCCAUGGUGAACCUUUCGAGGAUGAGGAUGUGGGUGUGGUCACCCAAGAGGUUGCUGAUGAUAUGACCGUGGGGACGUACCAGGCUCGGUCUGCAUACGAGUUGAAGCCUAGGACGGGAAUCAACAAGUACACACCUGAAGACUUCACCCAAAGAGGCCAAAGAGGCAAAAGGACGGUCGGCACCUCGCGGAUGGCGGCUUUGGAUGACUAUUUGGAUGACUAUGUAGAUGACGUGGACGAACCGGAGCCGGAGCCGGAGCGGGUUCCUCUUCCUAGGAAGGUGAAGAAGAUAAGCGUCAAGAGGGGGGGAGGAGCCAGCAAGCGCGGAAAACACUAG